This 66-nucleotide transfer RNA is filed under the name Amyelois transitella. Its description in RNAcentral is "tRNA-His". Lineage: Eukaryota; Metazoa; Arthropoda; Insecta; Lepidoptera; Pyralidae. The record is from RNAcentral.
ACUUAAAUAAUUUAAAAAAAAUAUUGAUUUGUGGUGUCAAAAAUAUGAUUUAUCUCAUUUUAGGUU